Molecule: long non-coding RNA, 931 nt
Organism: Siniperca chuatsi (mandarin fish)
Lineage: Eukaryota; Metazoa; Chordata; Actinopteri; Centrarchiformes; Sinipercidae
Exons: 3
Source: RefSeq, a predicted model, not a curated record
UUAACACCAUGUACAUGUGCAAACUGAGUAAUUGAGCUUGGUCACGCAACAGUCGAGCCAUUUACUGCACAGGUACUUUUAGAAACCUGCCACCCCUGUUCUGCAGCCAGGAGUAUAUUGUUAAAUAUGCCAGAGCUAGCUGGUGUAGGAGCAGCAGCAGCAGUGGUUACAUGUUGGAUCACGGGUGUUAGCUGACGACGGAGCCACUCUGGCCCACAGCUGGUUCCCCUCCAACUGGAUGAUCUGCUUCUUCCUGACUCCAGAGACCAGAGGGAGAGGCUGAAAAACCCAGAUGGAGAGUGAGAGCGGCAGAGGCAGACGGGUAGAUGGGUGGACGAGUAGAAGGGGGUGGAGAAACAGUCGAGGGAGAGUGUGAGUGAGAGGGGAAAAAAAGUGGGGGUGUGUGGCGUCAGCACCCAGAUGCAUCACAGCCACUCGCCGCAGCGAUGUGUGUGUUUGUGGAGGGCGUGCAUGCGUUUGUGGAGCCCAAGGACUUGUCGUCUGUCUGCUGCUGGUUGUGGCAGCCAGCUGUCAGGGGAGCUCAGGGAGAGAGAGGAGGCCAGGUGAAAGGAGGGCCAGCGGCAGACGAGGACUGGAGCCAGUGCUCAUUCACUCCAAAUGAAUGGUGACAAGAGCGCGAGAGCCAUUGAUCCACUGGUCAAAGCACCCCUAAGGCUGCAACCUAAUGUGCUGAAAAAAGAAACAUCAGCCCCAGUUGGGGCUCUGGGAGGGAGACAGUCCUCAUCAGAUGAAACACACCCUCCACACAACAUGAAGGAGAUCAAUAGACAGAGCUGGUGGAGGUGGUCAUUCAAUACAUUUACAUCCAUUAUGGACAAAAUCAUAUUAAGAAUUAUAUUUUGACAUGCUGUAGUGAGACAUAGUUCAUAACGUUAAAUGAGUGAAUACAGAUUACAGAAUAGCAGGCUCU